GUGCUCGCUUCGGCAGCACAUAUACUAAAACUGGAACGAUACAGAGAAGAUUAGUAUGGUCCCUGUGCAAGGAUGGCACGCAAAUUCAUGAAGCGUUCCAUAUUUUU
RNAcentral lists this small nuclear RNA (107 nucleotides) under Theropithecus gelada (gelada). The record is from RNAcentral. Lineage: Eukaryota; Metazoa; Chordata; Mammalia; Primates; Cercopithecidae.